RNAcentral lists this ribosomal RNA (874 nucleotides) under uncultured Bacteroidota bacterium. RNAcentral's name for it is "bacterial SSU rRNA". It matches the Rfam family "Bacterial small subunit ribosomal RNA", at positions 8 to 884 of the family's 1533-position model. Lineage: Bacteria; Pseudomonadati; Bacteroidota. The record is from RNAcentral.
AGAGUUUGAUCCUGGCUCAGGAUGAACGCUAGCGGCAGGCUUAACACAUGCAAGUCGAGGGGUAACGGGGAAGCUUGCUUCCGCCGACGACCGGCGCACGGGUGCGUAACGCGUAUACAAUCUACCUUAUACUGGGGUAUAGCCUUUAGAAAUGAAGAUUAACCCCCCAUAGUCUCUUAGAGUGGCAUCACUUCUAGAGUAAAGGUUACGGUAUAAGAUGAGUAUGCGUUCUAUUAGUUUGUUGGUGUGGUAACGGCACACCAAGACUACGAUAGAUAGGGGCCCUGAGGGGGAUCCCCCACACUGGUACUGAGACACGGACCAGACUCCUACGGGAGGCAGCAGUGAGGAAUAUUGGACAAUGGAGGCAACUCUGAUCCAGCCAUGCCGCGUGCAGGAAGACUGCCCUAUGGGUUGUAAACUGCUUUUAUACAGGAAGAAACACCUCUACGUGUAGAGGCUUGACGGUACUGUAAGAAUAAGGAUCGGCUAACUCCGUGCCAGCGGCCGCGGUAAUACGGAGGAUCCAAGCGUUAUCCGGAAUCAUAGGGUUUAAAGGGUCCGUAGGUGGAUAAUUAAGUCAGAGGUGAAAUCUUGCAGCUCAACUGUAAAAUUGCCUUUGAAACUGGUUAUCUUGAGUUAUUAUGAAGUAGUUAGAAUAUGUAGUGUAGCGGUGAAAUGCAUAGAUAUUACAUAGAAUACCAAUUGCGAAGGCAGAUUACUAAUAAUCAACUGACACUGAUGGACGAAAGCGUGGGUAGCGAACAGGAUUAGAUACCCUGGUAGUCCACGCCGUAAACGAUGGUUACUAGCUGUUUGGACUUCGGUCUGAGUGGCUAAGCGAAAGUGAUAAGUAACCCACCUGGGGAGUACG